GGGCCUGCGCUCCCUCUGUGAGCAGGUGCCAUCCACUUAGAAUUCCAGGCCAGUGGGAAUCACUACGUGUGGAGGAAGAGCACCUCAACUGUUCACAACAUCAUCGUGGGCAAGCUCUGGAUUGACCAGGUCAGGGGCGCCCUUGGGGAGGGGGUGCAUGGCCCGGGGGCUGGCUGCUGACCACUGCCCUCCUUCGCCAGUCAGGGGACAUCGAGAUUGUGAACCAUAAGACCAAUGACCGGUGCCAGCUGAAGUUCCUGCCCUACAGCUACUUCUCCAAAGAGGCAGCCCGGAAGGUAAGCAGGACCAGCCACCUCUAAGCACCCCAGGGGGCCCAGGGCAGAGUCUGCACCUACGCUGGUCCUGCCAAUGUCCACAGGUGACAGGAGUGGUGAGUGACAGCCAGGGCAAGGCCCAUUACGUGCUGUCCGGCUCGUGGGAUGAACAAAUGGAGUGCUCCAAGGUCGUGCAUAGCAGUCCCAGCAGCCCCAGCUCUGACGGGAAGCAGAAGACAGUGUACCAGACCCUGUCAGCCAAGCUGCUGUGGAAGAAGUACCCGCUGCCGUGAGUAGGGCUGGCAGGGGCCCCGCCACAGGCAAAGGAGAGGGAAGGAGGACAGUGGACAGAAAGCAACUGACAGGCACAGGAGGUCGGGAGGGUUCAGUCCACACAUGGGCAGAGAACAGUAUUAUGCAGCCGACAUCCCAGUGUGAAGGCAGACACCGAACAGUAAAUAAAUGUGAAACUAUCAAACACUAUGCACAGACUUUAAGCGAGGUGAUAGGACACAGCCCCUCCCUGUUCCUCCCUACAAGAAAUAAAAA
This 824-nucleotide small RNA is filed under the name Pan troglodytes (chimpanzee). RNAcentral's name for it is "processed transcript". Lineage: Eukaryota; Metazoa; Chordata; Mammalia; Primates; Hominidae. The record is from RNAcentral.